UUCGGUCGUGGGUUCGUUAUGCCGUGGUUAUGCCACUUGUGCGUCAUUCAAAGCCGUUCUGUACAUUUAUACUGGAUAUUAAUUGGAGUCAUUUAGCUGUACUGAUUCUGCUUGAUGUGUGUUUUGCAUCAGUGUUUCGUGACCUCGGCUGUAUUGCGUGUUUUCGCCGACGGCUUACUACCACAAUGGCGUGAUCUGCGUUCGCCGCCUUCGUGUCUCGGUGCGUCUUUGUACACGUCGCAUGUUCGGACAACACUUUUUCCGACGGCUGGACAUCCUUCUUGUACCUUGGCGCUAGCUGGAUGACGGCACCUCAUCAUGAUCAGUGUAUUGCUUGCCUAUGUCUACAAGAACCGUCACGCGUGGCCUGUGACAGCAAGCUUUUGUGGGCAGAAAGUGCUCUCCUACGAAGGCUGGCCUACUCUGGCAGCGGCGGCAAUCAUCUUCAAGAUUUAUCCAUGAUCACCUUUGCUGCUAUUUGUCACUCUUGUUGAUUACACUUUCUGCAUCUUUUCUAAUUUAUUAGGUAAUAAAGUAUGAGUAUGUGACAUGGUG
Non-coding RNA from Dermacentor andersoni, 555 nucleotides. NCBI's taxonomy places the organism in Eukaryota, Metazoa, Arthropoda, Arachnida, Ixodida, Ixodidae. The record is from RefSeq and is a predicted model, not a curated record.